Molecule: long non-coding RNA, 309 nt
Filed under: Cairina moschata (Muscovy duck)
Lineage: Eukaryota; Metazoa; Chordata; Aves; Anseriformes; Anatidae
Description: domestica (muscovy Duck (domestic type)) lncRNA (ENSCMMG00000001752.1)
Source: RNAcentral
UUAUGGAAGUAUUGACUCUUGGCUAAUUAACUUAGAGGCUACAGCAUGUUGCAGCAUGUAUGUCAUACGCCUGGAGAAAGUCACUUGGUUUAAAGUGCUGUUCACGGACUGGCAGACGGUGUUUAAGACAGCUGAAUGCACUGGAUAAUAGAGAAGAAGAGGAUUUUUGAACCUCCUCAGUCUACCGCUCUGUUUUGGAACAGAGGAAAAAUGGUCUCUUACUUAAAUAAAUGGAGUUUUCAUCUGCUGGGCAAGCUGUUUAGCAGAUGCUUUUUAAUUAUUUCAUUCCUGCCUCUAAUCUGUAUUUGA